AAGCCCGACAUGUAACGCCGUCUGGUGGAUGACCAGGCUUGAGCGCUGAGGAAGGGCGUGGCAAGCAACGAAAUGCCUCGGGUAGCUGCAUGCAAGCGUAGAUCCGAGGAUGCCCAAAUGAGACUUCUUGCAGGUGGUCCUUCGGGACUCUCUGCGUUCCGUAAGGAACGGGAACUCCCUGAACGGAAAUAUCUUAGUAAGGGAAGGAAAAGAAACCAAUCGGGAUUCCCUUAGUAGCGUGAGCGAAACGGGACCAGUCCAAACCGAACCCCUCUGGGUAACCUGAGGGGGAUGUAGUGUUGUGGGCCCAGCUUCAUCCUAACCAGUAAAACCAAAGUGACCUGAAACGGUCCGCCAUAGAUGGUGAAAGCCCAGUAGGUGUAAACUGGAAGGACUUGAGUUGGGAUCCCUGAGUACCAUACCCUGGAUUCGGUGUGGGAAGUUGGAGGUCACCAACCUCUAAGACUAAAUACGUCUCAAGACCGAUAGCGUACUAGUACGGUGACAGAAAGCUGAAAAGCACCCCGCGAGGGGGGUUAAAAGUGCCUGAAACCAGACGGUUACAGACGUUUGCAGCCCGGAAGGAUAGAUCCCUUCGUAAGGAACCUGUGGUAACGCAGUAAUACGAGGAAGGGGGACCAGGGUUGCAAGUUCCGUCUAGAAACACGGGCCGGGGAGUUUAUUGUUGUGGCAAGCUUAAAGGCAGGCAUGCCUGUAAGCGCAGGGAAACCGACAAGCACACAGCCGACUUUGGUUGGUGAGGUGCGGGGUCUGAAAGGGCCCGGAGUCACAGCGAUAACACUAGAAACCGGACGAUCUAGCCUUGGGCAGGGCGAAGUCAGGCGAAAGCCUGGUGGAGGCCCGAAGGGGUUCUGACGUGCAAUUCGUUCCUCUGACCUGAGGCUAGGGGCGAAAGACCAAUCUAGUUCGGUGAUAGCUAGUUCCCUCCGAAGUUGGUCGCAGCCAACCCUCAAACGAGGUAGCUCAUGGGGUAGAGCACUAAUUGGGAAGUAAGGGGUCGAAAGAUCUCGCUUUCCUUCUAAACUCCGAAUCUAUGAGCGCCGUAGACUUUGGGAGACGGGUUAUGGGGGGUAAGCCCCCAUUCCGAGAGGGGGACAACCCAGACUGGGGUUAAGGCCCCUAAAUGCUGGCUAAGUGUUAAAUAGAAAAGUGUCAUCAGCCCCAGACAGCGGGGAGGUAGGCUUAGAAGCAGCCAACCUUUAAAGAAAGCGUAACAGCUCACCCGCCGAGGCUGAUGGCCUUGAAAAUGGACGGGGCUAAGCCAGCUGCCGAUACCCUAGAGUGCAACUUAUGUUGUAAUCUGGUAGGAGGGCGUCCUGACUGGGCGGAAGCUAGGCCGUGAGGUCUAGUGGACCGGAUCAGGAUUGAGUAUCCCGGUGGUAGUAACAGCAGAGAGGGGUGGGAAUCCCCUCCGCCGAAAGGGCAAGGGUUCCCCAGCAACGCGUCGUCAGCUGGGGGUAAGUCGAUCCUAAGGCCGAUCUUAACUGAGAAGGUCGAAAGGGAAGCAGGUUAAUAUUCCUGCACCAUAAAGGUACACGCAGCAAUGCAAGCUUAUUUUCUGACGCUUCUGGAUAGGUUGAGCAAGGUCGUCGCUUUGUUUAACCGUAUAACUCUGGGGAGUGCCGUAAUGGCGAGAACCAGGAGAAAGCGGGAAUAGCCAUCCGUUUUAGGAAGGUUCAGCCGAUUUCUGGAGCCCAUGAAAAGGAAAGUAAGAAGGAUCCUUUAUGUUCGUACCAAGAACCGACACAGGUGCCCCUAGGCAAGAAACCUAAGGCGUGUCGGGUACACACUAAGCGAGGGAACUCGGCAAAUUAGCCCCGUAACUUUGGGAUAAGGGGUGCCUGCGGUUUUGGCUCCGGCUGGAACAGCAGGUCGCAGUGGCAAAGGGGUUCCGACUGUUUAAUAAAAACAUAGCAAACCGCAAGCCCGAAAGGGUAUGAACGGUUUGUGAAUCCUGUCCAGUACAGGUACCUGAAGCCCGGUUUCAACCGGUUUAAGGGCCUGCAAACGACGGGAGUAACUCUGACUCUCUUAAGGUAGCCAAAUGCCUUGUCGGGUAAGUUCCGACGCGCAUGAAUGGAACAACGAGAACCCCACUGUCCCCGCUUAGUACCCGGUGAACCCACUUAAAGUGGACGAACAGUCCACUGACUCCCAGCGGGAAAAGAAGACCCCGUGGAGUUUUACUGCAGCCUGUCGUUGGGAUAUGGCUGUGGAUGCAGAGCGUAGGCGGGAGCCGUUAUACUUCAGUCUCUCCGGGGACUGGGGAAGGCAACAAUGGAACACCGCCCUUUCGCAUCCGUGUCUCUUACCGGCACAAUUGUGUUGGGACAACGAUUGGUGGGCAGUUCGGCUGGGGCGGCACCCCCUUGAAAAAAUAUCAAGGGGGCCCUAAGGUCAGCUCAGGAGGGACAGAAACCCUCCGCAGAGUGCAAAGGUAAAAGCUGGCUUGACUGGAUCCUCCACAGCAAGGGAUCCAGAGGCGAAAGCCUGGCUUAGCGAACAUCCAAAUCCUCGUUGGUGGGGGUUGGAUAUGACAGAAAAAUUACCCCGGGGAUAACAGGCUUGUCGCGGGCGAGAGUUCACAUCGACCCCGCGGCUUGGUACCUCGAUGUCGGCUCUUCCUAUCCUGGUCCUGCAUAAGGGGCCAAGGGUGAGGCUGCUCGCCUAUUAAAAGGGAACGUGAGCUGGGUUUAGACCGUCGUGAGACAGGUCGGACUUUAUCUGCUGGGAGUGUUGGUUAUCUGAAGGGAAAGGGUUCCCAGUACGAGAGGAACGGAACGUUGUAGCCUCUAGUUUACCGGUUGUCUGACAUGGCACUGCCGGGCAGCCACGCUGUCGUGGAUAAGAGCUGAAAGCAUCUAAGCUCGAAGCCACUCCUGAAACAAGGUAACCAUUCCCUAACACGAGACCUUGGUAACAAGGCCUCAGUUAUGGACGAAAGCUCCCAUAGAAGAUGGGCUUGAUGGAGUCGGGGUGUACGCAUCAAGGCUUCGGCCGAGGUGUUUAGCCUGCGACCUCCAACCGCUUAAGGUGCCGGGCUG
RNAcentral lists this ribosomal RNA (3065 nucleotides) under Bathyarchaeum tardum (SeqCode). Its description in RNAcentral is "Candidatus Bathyarchaeum tardum 23S ribosomal RNA". It matches the Rfam family "Archaeal large subunit ribosomal RNA". The record is from RNAcentral. Lineage: Archaea; Thermoproteati; Candidatus Bathyarchaeota; Bathyarchaeia (SeqCode); Bathyarchaeales (SeqCode); Bathyarchaeaceae (SeqCode).